Molecule: ribosomal RNA, 497 nt
Filed under: uncultured bacterium
Lineage: Bacteria
Description: partial 16S ribosomal RNA
Rfam family: Bacterial small subunit ribosomal RNA
Source: RNAcentral
GAUGAACGCUGGCGGCGUGCCUAAUACAUGCAAGUCGAGCGAACGGACGAGAAGCUUGCUUUUCUGAUGUUAGCGGCGGACGGGUGAGUAACACGUGGAUAACCUACCUAUAAGACUGGGAUAACUUCGGGAAACCGGAGCUAAUACCGGAUAAUAUUUUGAACCGCAUGGUUCAAAAGUGAAAGACGGUCUUGCUGUCACUUAUAGAUGGAUCCGCGCUGCAUUAGCUAGUUGGUAAGGUAACGGCUUACCAAGGCAACGAUGCUUAGCCGACCUGAGAGGGUGAUCGGCCACACGGGAACUGAGACACGGACCAGACUCCUACGGGAAGCAGCAGUAGGGAAUCUUCCGCAAUGGGCGAAAGCCUGACGGAGCAACGCCGCGUGAGUGAUGAAGGUCUUCGGAUCGUAAAGCUCUGUUAUUAGGGAAGAACAGAUGUGUAAGUAACUGUGCACAUCGUGACGGUACCUAAUCAGAAAGCCACGGCUAACUACGUG